This is a non-coding RNA of Camellia sinensis, 884 nucleotides long. The record is from RefSeq and is a predicted model, not a curated record. NCBI's taxonomy places the organism in Eukaryota, Viridiplantae, Streptophyta, Magnoliopsida, Ericales, Theaceae.
CUUUUCACUAAUUUCGAAACACUUUUGAUAAUAUUUAGAGCACUGUUUAUACAAGUUUCAAUAUUAAACAAUUUGAUGGUAUCAUAUAUUUGAUUUUGUGUAUCAGAACAAGUGGCGUGCAAUUUGGGUGCAGCAGAGCCGAUGAUGGGUCCACUACACAAUCCAUUGACUAGAGCCACACAUUAUGCUCCUCAGGGGGCCUCUGAACUAUCAGCAGCAGCAGGAGAAUCAGGCUCAGCCAAACUUGGGGAAUGGUGGUUUUUCUUAGGGGUGUGGGAGUGAGUGUUUAGAGAGAUGGGAAAUUGGGUUCAAAGAUUCAUUACAUCUCCUUUCCCUUUAUCCAUUAAAAAAUAACACCUUUUCAUUUUUUACUUUUUAUUUUUAUGUAUCUGAAACUGGUAUUUGAUGAAUCUUUUUUCUCUUUGUUUCACUUUUUCAGGUUGGUGAUGAUAUACGGAUGAUGAUCCAAGUUAGGUUUUUUUUCCAAUCAAUUUGUUUCGUAUGAAUAAAAAUUUCAGCAUCGACAACCACCCUCCCUUCGAACUCGCACUCGCAAGAUCAAUUUAUGGCUAUGUCUGGUUUGUCUAUAUGGUUGCAACACCACCACCGCUGCUCAUCAUCACCACUGCCGCUGUUGAUGCAAAACCCACUUCAUGCUCAAACAGAAUGUGUUCAAGGAAAGCUUCAAACCUGGCCAUAAUGCAAAUGAAGAUGUUCACUUGACAGUGAGGAAAUCUACAGCAGAUCUGGCCAUAGAGCAAAUGAAGAUGUUCACUUGAUAGUGAGGAAAUCUCCAGUCCUCGAUUUCUGCCUCUCGAACUCGGCUCGCAAGGAAAUUUCAACAUUGUUGAGGAAGCAUCAUUGUAUCAGUGAAGUUUCGGUUC